CAAUAGCGUAUAUUAAAGUUGUUGCAGUUAAAAAGCUCGUAGUUGGAUCUGUGGUGUGCGGUGGGCUCCGGGCACUUGUUGUCUGAGUAGCUCGCCGCUGCCAUCCUUGGGUGGAACCUGUGUGGCAUUAGGUUGUCGUGCAGGGGAUGCCCAUCGUUUACUGUGAAAAAAUUAGAGUGUUCAAAGCAGGCUUAUGCCGUUGAAUAUAUUAGCAUGGAAUAAUGAGAUAGGACUUUUUCGCUAUUUUGUUGGUUUGCGCGAAGAGGUAAUGAUUAGUAGGGACAGUUGGGGGUAUUCGUAUUCCAUUGUCAGAGGUGAAAUUCUUGGAUUUUUGGAAGACGAACUACUGCGAAAGCAUUUACCAAGGAUGUUUUCAUUAA
Molecule: ribosomal RNA, 380 nt
Filed under: uncultured eukaryote
Lineage: Eukaryota
Description: partial 18S ribosomal RNA
Rfam family: Eukaryotic small subunit ribosomal RNA
Source: RNAcentral